CUGACCUUAGCUCAGUGGGUAGAGUGGACUGUAGUUGGACUAAUCUAAAUUGGAAAUCCUUAGGUCGCUGGUUUGAUUCCGGCAGGUUGGA
This 91-nucleotide transfer RNA is filed under the name Ipomoea nil (Japanese morning glory). It matches the Rfam family "tRNA". Rfam says of the family: Transfer RNA (tRNA) molecules are approximately 80 nucleotides in length. Their secondary structure includes four short double-helical elements and three loops (D, anti-codon, and T loops). Further hydrogen bonds mediate the characteristic L-shaped molecular structure. tRNAs have two regions of fundamental functional importance: the anti-codon, which is responsible for specific mRNA codon recognition, and the 3' end, to which the tRNAs corresponding amino acid is attached (by aminoacyl-tRNA synthetases). tRNAs cope with the degeneracy of the genetic code in two manners: having more than one tRNA (with a specific anti-codon) for a particular amino acid; and 'wobble' base-pairing, i.e. permitting non-standard base-pairing at the 3rd anti-codon position. The record is from Rfam by way of RNAcentral. Lineage: Eukaryota; Viridiplantae; Streptophyta; Magnoliopsida; Solanales; Convolvulaceae.